This 253-nucleotide ribosomal RNA is filed under the name uncultured bacterium. RNAcentral describes it as "partial 16S ribosomal RNA". It matches the Rfam family "Bacterial small subunit ribosomal RNA", at positions 524 to 776 of the family's 1533-position model. The record is from RNAcentral.
UACGUAGGAGGCGAGCGUUGUCCGGAUUUACUGGGCGUAAAGGGCGCGCAGGCGGCCUUGCAAGUAGCGUGUGAAAUCCACCUGCUCAACGGGUGGGGUGCAUGGUAGACUGCAGGGCUAGAGGACGGUAGAGGGGGGUGGAAUUGCUGGUGUAGCGGUGAAAUGCGUAGAGAUCAGCAGGAACACCCGUGGCGAAGGCGGCCCCCUGGGCCGUACCUGACGCUGAGGCGCGAAGGCUAGGGGAGCAAACAGG